GAGUAUGCCCAUAAUACCCUUCCUUCAUCUGCCACUGGGAUGUCCCCCUUCCAAUGCCUGUACGGAUACCAACCUCCCUUGUUUCCUUCUCAGGAGAGGGAUCUUUCGGUUCCUUCUGUCCAGGCCCACAUUCGUCGUUGCCACCGGACCUGGCAUCGGGCCCGGAAGGUUCUCCUUAGAAUUUCUGACCGGUAUCAGAUCCAGGCAAAUCGUCGCCGUAUUCCUGCUCCCGCUUACACCAUCGGAGAUAAGGUUUGGUUGGCUACACGGGAUCUUCCUCUACGGACUGAGUCGAGGAAACUGUCACCGAAGUUCAUUGGUCCGUUUGUGGUGGAGAGAAUCAUUAACCCUGUUGUGGUCCGACUCAAGUUGCCGGCAACGCUUCGAGUACACUCCACUUUUCAUGUCUCCUGCCUCAAGCCGGUUCUCAUCAGUCCUCUGUUGCCGCCUCCUCCUCGUCCUCCUCCUCCUCGGAUGAUCGGAGGUGGUCCUGCCUACACGGUGCGCCGCAUAAUGGAUUCCAGACGGCGGGGUCGAGGUUUCCAAUAUCUCGUGGAUUGGGAAGGAUAUGGUCCAGAGGAGAGGAGUUGGAUUCCUCGGCGUCAGAUCCUUGAUGACGACCUGCUUCGUGACUUCUACCGCCUCCACCCUGGUGCUCUAGGUAGUCCGCCCGGUGGCGUUCGUCGGAGGGGGGGUACUGUCACGAACCCCGCUUCCUGAGUCUGUGUUUGCCUGUGUUUCUGUCCUGGAGUGUGUUUCCGGUGUCCUGGAACGCACCCUGUCUGGUUGCCGGGCAGAUUAGCUUGUUGGGAGAUCGAUGUUCACCCGCACCUGUAUCCCAUCAGUAAUCUGCACACCUGUCCUGAUCAUCACCUCUCCCCUUCAAAAGCUCUGACCUGACAUCCAUUCCCUGCCGGAUCGUUAGCCAUGAACAGUAUGUUGUGCCAUAGUAUCAGCCUCAAGUUGGAUAGAAUUUGUUUUGUUGUUUUGUACGUCUUGCUUGCCUUCAACUUACCUCCGUUUGUUCUGUCUUCAGUUACUCACCCGGAUCAUUUACCCCAUUCCCGCCUGGUCAUCGGAGGAUUCCGCUUCCCCAUUGGAUCCACCUAUUUACUCCCAUCAACUCACCACCGCUGCCCGCUACGCCACCUGGAUGUAUCUACCCACUCACAUUCACUUGUAAAUAAAUACUCACCUUCUUCCUACUCUCCUUGUCCUGGUCAGCUUCUGGGUUCGAUUUUGAAGAAACGUGACAUCCACAGCAACUUUAACAUUUAUAAAAUAUUGUUUUUCACUAUGCUAGGAGAGUGGAGAGGCGGGACUAGGCAGACAAGUGUGUGACCCUUCUCUGUGAUUGGUGGACAGAGAUUGAUGGUUGACAGACAGACGGAUAAAGAGAACGAGACUGACAGCAGAGAGGAGAGACGGGGAGAGAGAGAUGGCUCACAGUGUCAACUUUGACCUGACUGCUGAACACAUGGAGGCUGGCCUGGAGAGCCCAGCGGAUGAAGAGGGGGUCCAUGACUCCUUUAACCAGCUGAUAGAGGAUCAGAGACAGGAAGCCUUGGAGCUGCAGGAACUACAGAGAGACCUGGACGAGGAGGAACGAGACAGUGUAGCGUACCUGUCCAGCCCUGGUCAGGAGAUUAUGGCGUGGGAGCGCGGGGAGGGGUGAGGAGGAAGUGGGGGGACAGUUAGACCCCCUUCUAGAGGAACGCUGGUCCUCCGCCACCCUCAAAGUCCUCUCAUCCAUGCCCAGCCGCACCAUCGGUCGUAGUCGAGGUGCUAUCAUCUCUCAGUACUAUAACAGGACCAUGAAGUUGAGAAGACGCAGACAGAGCAGGCCUUCCAUAAAGGACUUUUCCCGCUCCGCACGGCCCAGUAUCCGUGGUUACGGCAUGGAGACAGACUGCAUGGAGACCGAGGGCGUGGAUGAGGAGGGGCGUAAGCGUGACCAACUGGUCAACAACCUUCAGAACCUCUCUCUGAGUGACCGGGUCAGGAUGUUGCGAGCUAUGCCUCUCUCUGUGGCAGAGAAGAGUGAACUAAGGAGGUUGGCUGACAGGAAGGGUCAACGCUCCAAUCACAGUCAGAUCCCCUGUUGCAGCCAGCUCAAGUAUCACAUCAUCAUCGCUCUGAGACAUAGCUGGUACAGUUGUCUCUCCUUCCUCCACUCCCUACAGCUGUGGCAGGUGGCGCUGAAGAGGGUGAGCGGUCGUUUCGGCACCGGCGUCCUCUCUUACUUCCUGUUCGUCAAGACCCUCCUCUUCUUCAACAUCUUCCUGUUCCUGGUCACGGGUUUGUUACUGGCCGUGCCCCAGGCAGUACACCCCCCCACAUUAACCCAGGGACACGAAGCCUUCUCUGGGCUGGAGCUGCUCACUGGAGGGGGUUAUUUCUCAGACUCAGUGAUAUACUAUGGUUACUAUAGUAACUCUACCCUGUCUAAGGACUGUAGAGUCACUAGUAGCAGUAUGGAGCAGCAGCCCAGUCCCUCUGUAUCUAGAAGGACAAUGGAGACAGACUGUGGAGGGAAGCCGUCCUACAACAUGCCCCUGGCUUACUUCUUCACCAUAGGACUGGCUUUCUUCAUCACCUGCAUCAUCCUCGUCUACAGCAUGUCCAAGUCGUUUGGUCAGAGUUUCCGUAUAGACAAGUCACAUGGUAUCCUGGCGAUGAAGGUGUUCUGUUCCUGGGACUUUAAAGUCAUCAAGAAAACCUCCGUCAAACUCCGGUCUGAAAACAUCUGCAUUCAACUCAGGGAGUUGUUAGAGGAGACAAGUCGUAAGCAUGUCCAGAAGACUGCGUGUCAGAGAAUAGGACGUGUGCUGGUACAUGUUCUGGCCUGGUUCAUCUGUAUCGGCAGUACAGUGGCCUGUGUUCUAGCUCUCUACUACUUCUCUGAGUACAUGCACAAGGACCUCCAGUACAGAUCUCGUAUUCCCACUAAGGACCCUCUCCUGAAGGAAGCCAGUCUGUUGGCCCUGCCAGUCGUAGUGUCUCUCAUCAACCUCCUGCUCCCUGGCAUCUUCAACGCUACUGCCUGGAUGGAGGAGUACGACUCGCCCAGCGUAAACACAUACAUCGCCAUCAGCAGGAACCUGAUGUUGAAAGUGAGCGUGCUGGUAGUGCUGUGCUUCCAUUGGCUGGGCCGGAUCGCUUCUGACCCCCACAGCAUCGGCCUGCAGUGCUGGGAGAGUUUUGUAGGACAAGAGCUGUACCGCUUCCUCCUCAUGGACUUCAUCUUUACCAUACUGGACACCUUCUUUGGAGAGUUCCUCUGGAGGUUGUUUUCUCAGAGGGUGUUGAAGAGGAAAAGAAAGCCUGUGUUUGACAUCUCCAGGAACGUGUUGGAACUCAUCUACGGACAGACACUGGCCUGGUUGGGGGUGUUGUUCACUCCUCUGCUUCCUGCUGUACAGAUCAUCAAACUACUGCUUCUCUUCUACAUGAAGCAGACUAGUGUGAUGAUGAACUGCCAGUCCCCUAGGAAGCCCUAUAGGGCCAGUCAGAUGAGCACCAUCUUCAUCACCCUCCUCUGCUGCCCUUCCUUCCUGGGGGCUGCUGUUUGUGUCAGCUACACCAUGUGGAGCAUCCGUCCGUCUGAGUCAUGUGGUCCGUUCCGCAGCCUGUCCACUAUGUUCCAGUCAGGGAAGCUGUGGGUGAAGGAGUUGGAGACACACAACCCUAACCUGGCCUGGUUAGCCUGGGCUCACAGCUACAUAGUGGAGAACCCUCUGUUUCUGUUCCUCGCUGCUGGGAUCUUCCUGAUAGUGAUUUACUUCAACACCCAGGUGGUGGAUGGACAGAGGAAGAUUAUCAGUCUGCUGCAGGAGCAAAUAGAAAACGAGGGGGAUGAUAAGAAGUUCCUGAUCACUCGUCUCCAGGCCAUCCACCAGCAGAAACGACCCCUCUCCCCUCGCAGACUCACCAGUCAGGCCAGUCAGGAUUCCAACUGUUAGCAUUCCAACUACUGAAAGGGCAUUCUCUCCCUUCUCAUUAGAGGGAAUAUCUCAGAAAAUGUCCUGAAUGGACCAACCUGGAUGUAGCUCUCCUCUCCUGCCUCUGGGAAGAGUUGUUAAGGGAUUCUUCAACUGGAAAACUAUUCUCAUAGGAUGUCCUCUUUCCCAGGAAGCUGAGUUGGGACUAUAAAGGAAUUUACUUCUUUACAAUAACAAAUCCCACAGACGCCAAAACGUGAAUCUGAUAGGAUCCACACUCUUUCCCAGGAAGCUGGUCCUUAUAAGGAUUGGGAAUAGGAUUGGGAAUGGGACAAAGCAGGCUUUCCCUCUUCCAAUAACAGACUACACCUCAUAGGGAAAGACCACUUUAUAGGAUCUUACUAUGGCCAGGCCAUAGGCUCCACCUUACUGUAACUAGGCUCCACCUUACUGUAACUAGGCUCCACCUUACUGUAACUAGGCUACAACUUACUGUAACUAGGCUACAUAGGAAAUACCACUGAGUUUUAAUGAACUUACUAUGGCCAGGCCAUAGGCUCCACCUUACUGUAACUAGGCUCCACCUUACUGUUUAUUCUUCAUGUAAAUGAAAGGACAUGCCACUGUCACAAAACAAUGGUUUAUCGACGCUCAAUACUUUCAGCCAAGGAUCUUUGUCCUUUUUUAAACUUGGAUUGGAAGCCCUGGUCAUGAGAGAGGAUGUAGGGGUGAAGAGGAAACGAGACUGGGAUACGGUGUGCUUGUAGGGACACAGAACGGAAUGCGCUUUUUAGAAACAAUAUUUUUUUCCCUCACAACUUUGAACAGGGAACAUAUCAAAUGCCAAUAAGCUGCCAACGUUGCACCAAGGAUGAAAACAGUGGCUUUGUUAAGCAGCGUGAAUUCUGUGAAAUAUAGGAUUUGUAUUUUUUUUAAAAUUGUAAAUAGUAUGAUUUUUUUAAAAAUUACUUUAGAUGUUUUUAUUGUAUAAACAGGUGUUUUGUCAACAGUCAUUUCAUACCAACUGUGAACAGGUUAUUUCUUUCCGUUUCUGAUAUAAAAUGAUUUUGAUGUUUUUAUGUUAAUUGGUGGUCCACACACUGCUUCUGAAAUGGCACUCUUCCCUACAUAGUGCACAACUUUAUAGGGCGCUGGUCGUACGUAGUGCACUAUGUAGAGAAUAGGGUACCUUUUUGGACGCAUCCUCUGUUUACUGACUCUGUAGGAAGAAUCCACCUCUUAGUAUCGGGCGAUCUGAUUGGUUCGUUCAAACAGGAAAUGGUCUUAGAAGAUCAACCAUUGGAACAGCACGUUAUUUGAUUGUCUCUUUGUUUUUACAUUGUUUUGUUUGUAUACUUUAUACGAAAUUAAAUGUUUUAACAUA
This is an RNA transcript of Oncorhynchus kisutch (coho salmon), 5325 nucleotides long. It is a transcript of the gene named transmembrane channel-like protein 6, with no coding region annotated. Lineage: Eukaryota; Metazoa; Chordata; Actinopteri; Salmoniformes; Salmonidae. The transcript is spliced from 23 exons. The record is from RefSeq and is a predicted model, not a curated record.